GACGAACGCUGGCGGCGUGCCUAAUACAUGCAAGUAGAACGCUGAAGGAGGAGCUUGCUUCUCUGGAUGAGUUGCGAACGGGUGAGUAACGCGUAGGUAACCUGCCUGGUAGUGGGGGAUAACUAUUGGAAACGAUAGCUAAUACCGCAUAAUAGCAGUUGUUGCAUGAUAACUGUUUGAAAGGUGCAAUUGCACCGCUACCAGAUGGACCUGCGUUGUAUUAGCUAGUUGGUGGGGUAACGGCUCACCAAGGCGACGAUACAUAGCCGACCUGAGAGGGUGAUAGGCCACACCGGGACUGAGACACGGCCCAGACUCCUACGGGAGGCAGCAGUAGGGAAUCUUCGGCAAUGGACGGAAGUCUGACCGAGCAACGCCGCGUGAGUGAAGAAGGGUUUCGGAUCGUAAAGCUCUGUUGUAAGAGAAGAACGAGUGUGAGAGUGGAAAGUUCACACUGUGACGGUAUCUUACCAGAAAGGGACGGCUAACUACGUG
RNAcentral lists this ribosomal RNA (495 nucleotides) under uncultured bacterium. RNAcentral's name for it is "partial 16S ribosomal RNA". It matches the Rfam family "Bacterial small subunit ribosomal RNA", at positions 28 to 507 of the family's 1533-position model. The record is from RNAcentral.